UUACAUUGUGUUAUCACACAGUUAAACAUGAUGAAAAGUGACGGUUUAGAACUAAACUGGGAUUGUUGUUUUAGAGUAUGGAGGAACUGGAUGAGUACCAUCAAGAUGUUCUCACUUUCGAACAACAUCAACUUGAAAAGAGUGUGACUGCAAUGCAAACCAAAAUCAUGAUGGAAACACAGCUGCGACGGCUGGCCUAUGUUACUCGGCUGACACUGUGAAGAAGGAAGCUGAACUUGACUGAUGUGAUGGCGUCCUCAACUUAGCCAAGGAAGCCAGUGUGGCUUACGAUUCUAGUCUAAAUUAGUGCCCCUCCUUUGUUAUCUUGUUAAUUGCCAGACCUCCUUCCCAUUAAAACCAAAACAGAUCCCAAACGGUUAUGUGAGUAGCAGUAAUUGCAAACUUGCAUGUACCAAGCUUCCAGCCCUUUGGUAGGAACAACGACUUUAUCUCCCUAACGCGCUGCCAGUUAACUUUUAGCAAUAUAUAUGAUAUAAUCUUUCAUUUGGCUUUUUAGUCCAUCUAUGUCAGUUCUGAAAUGUAGAAAACACAGUUUUGGAAAAUUAUAUUGUUUUUCUUAAGGAAUAUAUUUCUAGCAGGGAGAGUCUAUUUUACCCAAAAGCUUUUGUGUGUACUCACUGUUACAUACAGAGCCUAUUUUAAUAAAAAUGAGACUUCAAAUGAAUUAUAUUCUGUAGACAUUCAAAAUGUACCAAAGAAACUUCAGAAUAUGCCUUUUCAUAAACCAGACUGCUAAAAAUCAUCAAGACAGCUGAACGAGGUGUGUCAGUAUCAGCUGUGAAAUGAGGAUUUGCAGAUGUACCAUUUCCACAUACACACAUGCAAAUACAAAUAUGUCACUCAAUUGGGUUUGGCCCACUGUGAAAUGACAUUUGCUCUUAGCAGUGAUUAAAAAUACUUCAUUAACAUAUUCAUAGACCGAAUUGCUUUUCCAGUAUGUCACACUUGUUGUAUACAAAAAUUACCUACAUUUUUUUUCAGAACUAAUAUCCAGUGACCAUAUGGAAAGUUGGUAGAGUAUUCAUUUAAACACAUGAAAAACUACAUGUGUAGUUGUACCUGGACAUUUAUAUUGUGCCCUUUUACGUAAAGAUUUCCCCCAUCAGUCAAAGUAGGCAUUGGCAUAUGUAUCUUGAAUACUAAUUCAGACUUCUGUGGGUGAAAGCUAGGGUGGCUGAUAUUCCGCCUGAUAUCUCGAGUGGGUUAUGGCCCUGGAUAUCAGCUCCCCUGUUGCAAUGCAUGCCUAUGGUGGCGAAGGGGGGUUGGGCUGACAGGGUGUUGUCUCUCACGGGUCAGAACACCCUGUGUGUAACUUUCAGCCUUUCUCUCCCUUUGUCUGCUAGACCCCAGGUGGUCAAGUAAGGUCCCUGUGCAGGGGGUGCCCCAGUCUACUGCAUUGUGACUUGGUUCCCGGGUUGCUCCAUAUAUGAGAAAUUUUGCUGGCAGAUACCGAGGAGAAAUAAAUCACCUAGAAUGUUCUUUCUAAA
This is a long non-coding RNA of Otolemur garnettii (small-eared galago), 1508 nucleotides long. RefSeq lists it as uncharacterized. The record is from RefSeq and is a predicted model, not a curated record. The transcript is spliced from 2 exons. NCBI's taxonomy places the organism in Eukaryota, Metazoa, Chordata, Mammalia, Primates, Galagidae.